This is a small nuclear RNA of Dipodomys ordii (Ord's kangaroo rat), 126 nucleotides long. The record is from Ensembl. NCBI's taxonomy places the organism in Eukaryota, Metazoa, Chordata, Mammalia, Rodentia, Heteromyidae.
GUGUUGUAUGAAAGGAGAGAAGGUUAGCACUUGACUUGACAAGGAUGGAAAAGGCCCUUGGGCCUGACAACAUGCUUACAGUUAAGGUAUUGCCACCUACUUCGUGGCAUCUAACCAUUGUUUUUC